CUCCCCGAAAGCUAUUUAGGUAGCGCCUCGUGAAUUCAUCUCCGGGGGUAGAGCACUGUUUCGGCUAGGGGGCCAUCCCGGCUUACCAACCCGAUGCAAACUGCGAAUACCGGAGAAUGUUAUCACGGGAGACACACGGCGGGUGCUAACGUCCGUCGUGAAGAGGGAAACAACCCAGACCGCCAGCUAAGGUCCCAAAGUCAUGGUUAAGUGGGAAACGAUGUGGGAAGGCCCAGACAGCCAGGAUGUUGGCUUAGAAGCAGCCAUCAUUUAAAGAAAGCGUAAUAGCUCACUGGUCGAGUCGGCCUGCGCGGAAGAUGUAACGGGGCUAAACCAUGCACCGAAGCUGCGGCAGCGACGCUGAUG
Molecule: ribosomal RNA, 366 nt
Filed under: Salmonella enterica
Lineage: Bacteria; Pseudomonadati; Pseudomonadota; Gammaproteobacteria; Enterobacterales; Enterobacteriaceae
Description: partial 23S ribosomal RNA
Rfam family: Bacterial large subunit ribosomal RNA
Source: RNAcentral